CAUAGCAGCCAUAUCACCCUGCAACUCACAACCGGCAACCCACUGAAGCUAAGCAGGUGUGAGCCUGGUCAGUACCUGGAUGGGAGACCUCCUGGGAAAAACUAAGGUUGCUGCUGGAA
Lepisosteus oculatus (spotted gar) is the source of this 119-nucleotide ribosomal RNA. Lineage: Eukaryota; Metazoa; Chordata; Actinopteri; Semionotiformes; Lepisosteidae. The record is from Ensembl.